This 253-nucleotide ribosomal RNA is filed under the name uncultured bacterium. Its description in RNAcentral is "partial 16S ribosomal RNA". It matches the Rfam family "Bacterial small subunit ribosomal RNA", at positions 524 to 776 of the family's 1533-position model. The record is from RNAcentral.
UACGAAGGGGGCUAGCGUUGCUCGGAAUUACUGGGCGUAAAGCGCACGUAGGCGGUCUUUUAAGUCGGGGGUGAAAUCCUGGAGCUCAACUCCAGAACUGCCUUCGAUACUGGAAGACUUGAGUCCGGGAGAGGUGAGUGGAACUGCGAGUGUAGAGGUGAAAUUCGUAGAUAUUCGCAAGAACACCAGUGGCGAAGACGGCUCACUGGCCCGGUACUGACGCUGAGGUGCGAAAGCGUGGGGAGCAAACAGG